Molecule: small RNA, 83 nt
Filed under: Salmonella enterica subsp. enterica serovar Thompson
Lineage: Bacteria; Pseudomonadati; Pseudomonadota; Gammaproteobacteria; Enterobacterales; Enterobacteriaceae
Also listed under: 2 other names
Description: partial RtT sRNA
Rfam family: RtT RNA
About the family: This family represents a bacterial cis-regulatory element known as RtT RNA. The exact function of RtT is unknown although it is thought that it may be involved in changing the cellular response in relation to amino acid starvation.
Source: RNAcentral
UCGAGCGAAGCGAGAGAACGUUGCGUCAGCAACGGCCCGCAGGGCGAGCCACGCAGUGGCGAGUCAUCCUCUAUCACCGACCA